GGUGGUGGCUCAGUGGUAGAGCACUUGCCUAGCAUGCGUGAGGCACUGGGUUCAAUUCUCAGCACCA
This 67-nucleotide transfer RNA is filed under the name Marmota monax (woodchuck). It matches the Rfam family "tRNA". From Rfam's summary of the family: Transfer RNA (tRNA) molecules are approximately 80 nucleotides in length. The record is from Rfam by way of RNAcentral. Lineage: Eukaryota; Metazoa; Chordata; Mammalia; Rodentia; Sciuridae.